UACGUAGGGGGCGAGCGUUGUCCGGAAUUACUGGGCGUAAAGGGUGCGUAGGUGGUCUACUAAGUUGGAUGUGAAAUCCCCGGGCUUAACUUGGGGUGUGCAUCCAAUACUGGCGGACUAGAGUGCAGGAGAGGGAAGCGGAAUUCCUAGUGUAGCGGUGAAAUGCGUAGAUAUUAGGAGGAACACCAGUGGCGAAGGCGGCUUUCUGGACUGUAACUGACACUGAGGCACGAAAGCGUGGGGAGCAAAC
Molecule: ribosomal RNA, 250 nt
Filed under: uncultured prokaryote
Description: partial 16S ribosomal RNA
Rfam family: Bacterial small subunit ribosomal RNA
Source: RNAcentral